GUUGAGAUUUUUACAUGCAUAUUGAAAGGUAUAAGAUACACUUAUACCCAUGUUUCCCUCCAAAUGAAGGUUGUUUACUUUUUCAUAAUGUUCACUGCUAACAGCUCUCGCUUUACUUGUUAAUAAACGGUUUAUAUUUUCUAUUACAGAUAUAAUGAUGUAUGAAUAUAAUUAGUCUUAUUUUUUACUUCUAUCAUUUCAACAGGUUGUCCAAAGGUCGGGUAAAUGUUUCAAUUAAUGAGGAUGUCUCUGUACUGUUGAACCCGAAGACCAUUAUGUUAAUAUUUGACAUAACUGCUUGCAGCAAAAAGCAGGAUCAAAGCUGUUCUACAGGCAAGAAGCAUAAAAAAGUAAAAAGAAAGCACAUCACCUUGCAAUUGGGCACCUAUUGUUGUGGUGUAUA
Long non-coding RNA from Mizuhopecten yessoensis (Yesso scallop), 403 nucleotides. RefSeq lists it as uncharacterized. Lineage: Eukaryota; Metazoa; Mollusca; Bivalvia; Pectinida; Pectinidae. The record is from RefSeq and is a predicted model, not a curated record. The transcript is spliced from 3 exons.